AUAAACAGAUCACGCUUAAACUGAUCUGGGGAAAAAACACCAGCCAAAAAUGAACGCGUACAACAAACGCGAAUGUUCAAAACCAACCUAGUUUACAAUGUCAGAAGACAUAAAGAAGUUCAGUCCAUUUGACAAAGGCAUCAAAUUGGUGUCAAAACCAAGCGAUCUCGAUGAAUUUGAUGAUGACCCCAGUGUUUUAAGAGCUCAGCUGUCCUGUGGUCAUGUCAUUGAUCCAGAGACACUGACCGAUUGUUGUAGAGCUCAACUGGAAGAUGGACAGACUGAAUUCAGAUGUCCCCUGUGUAUGAAAGAAUGGCCAUAUAAUGAAGUGCGCAAAUUGGCAAAACUUACAAUUGAUGAGCAGUCUAGUUUUGAGGAGAGGCUGGGGACAAACACUGUUAAGAAGUUAUUAGAUUUAAGGGAUUGUCCUGGUUGCGGCACUUUAAUAGAAAGAUCGGAUGUUUCCAAUCUCUGCGUGGAGUGCUCAGUUUGCACGAUGAAAACUGGACAAAUCUUUGAAUUCUGCUGGCAGUGUGAGAGAGAGUGGAAGGGGCCUAGACCUCGUCUUGAUCAUUGCAGUAAUGUGGGAUGUAGACGCGCUGACCAGGAGCUGCUGAGGGGUUGUGAUAUGAUCACUUUCACAUCAGUUGUGUAUAAGGGGUCAAGUGUUCAUGUCCAGUGUCCAGCAAUCCGUGCCUGUCCAUUUUGUGGCGUGUUGAUAGAACACAAUAAGGGAUGUAAAAUAAUGACAUGUCUUAAUUGUAAGAAGCCGUUUUGCUUUGCUUGUUUAAAAUCCGCCCACGACUGCUUAAAAACUUCUACUCAUUUCAUUUCAUGCUCAGCUAGUGUCGCACCUAGACAAACUGAUUAAGCAGAUGAUAAAGCAGAAGCGGCUUUAAAGGGUGAGGAGUUAAGAAGAGGAAGAGUUUAUAAAGCUUAUUGAUUAUAUUUCCUUUUCUGUGUAUUCAAGAUUUUAAAGUGUAGGUACACAGCAUUGUUAUUGCUGGUCUGUCUAAUUUCUAGUGAUUCCUUCACGAUUAUGUCCAUUAUCAUUAAUUUUGUAAGAUCCUCAUAAAGAUACUCAUUAUGUCAUUUUUGGACCACCACCACAUUACACCUGAACUUUAUCUAAGUAUUACCAUGUUUUCAAUCUGAUUUUAAUAUUAUCCAGUAAUUAAUGUCCAUGCAUGCAUACUUUAUAAUUAUUUUAAAUAAAAUGCAUUUACUUUAAUCCUUUGGUAUAUAUAAAAAAAAAAAUAUAUAUACUAUAUAUAUAUGUAGUCCACACAGAUGGUACAGGUAAAAGUGUGACUUUUGCAGAUAAUGGUAAAACGUUGAAAUUCUUCAUUAAGGAUAGAUGUUCUCAAAUAUGAAUAAAGAUUCAAGAAACACAAACAUUUGGGUGACGUCAUCCACGAUGAGAGCUGUCAUAUGUUGACAUGGAAAAAUUCGUUUUAAAAGGUGUGUAUUCGCUUAAGUGUGAUGUCCGCGAGCGCUGCCAUGCUGCUAUUGUCCAAUAUUGUGUUUUCAGCGGGACCAUGUAUUUUUAUCAGCAUGGAAGUCUUUCUUUUAACGAAGAAAGUUGACGCCCUUGCAUAUUUGCAAAGUGAAAGAGAAAGAAACGUAUAGGCUAUGAUAUAUUUCCUUGUUAUAGCUUUGCAGUCAGACAAUACUUGACCAGAGCCAGAAUGGCGUUUCAGGUCCGCAUUAGGACUAAUAAAAAUGCGAUUAAAAUAUUGUCCGUGGCAACAUCAAGUGACGAAUUUGAGAAGUUCACUGUUGGAAUGCUAAAGGAAAAAGCUUUAAGUUUGUUUCCUGGAGUAGACGGCCCAGAAGCCCUAAGGGUGAUUUUUGGUCAAAAUGAGCCUGAAGAUGAUGAAACAUUUGAGUCUUGCAACAUUGAACAUCUGUCUCUUCUUGUCGUCGUGCUCAUAAUGCCUGGUGGAGUAGUUCUUCCUCUUCAUGCAGAGUCAUGCAGCAACACUUUUGACACUACAAAUAGUGUCAGAUUGAUGUCUGGUCUCUCUCAUUGAAUUGUCCAUUCAAACAUCAAAAAUCUGUCCCAAAUCAUGUCACAAAUAUAAUUUGUUUGAUUAUAGUGUGCAUUUAGAAUUUUUUAAAAACAGAAACUUGGAUGUAUUAGACUUAUAUAUUUCUGUUAUGUAAAUGCAUAAUAUGUUAAAAUUCAACUCUCUCUGUAUAAUACUGUGUAUUCAAUAUGUGUAUAAAACCUGUGACUAACUUUCA
Triplophysa dalaica is the source of this 2247-nucleotide long non-coding RNA. RefSeq lists it as uncharacterized. The transcript has 6 exons. The record is from RefSeq and is a predicted model, not a curated record. Lineage: Eukaryota; Metazoa; Chordata; Actinopteri; Cypriniformes; Nemacheilidae.